GGAUUAGAUACCCUGGUAGUCCACGCUGUAAACGAUCAUCACUCGCUGUUGGCGAUACACAGUCAGCGGCCAAGCGAAAGCAUUAAGUGAUGCACCUGGGAAGUACGGUCGCAAGAUUGAAACUCAAAGGAAUUGACGGGGGCCCGCACAAGCGGUGGAGCAUGUGGUUUAAUUCGAUGAUACGCGAGGAACCUUACCAGGGCUUAAAUGCAGAACGACAGUUUGGGAAACCAGAUUUUCUUCGGACGUUUUGCAAGGUGCUGCAUGGUUGUCGUCAGCUCGUGUUG
Molecule: ribosomal RNA, 287 nt
Filed under: uncultured bacterium
Lineage: Bacteria
Description: partial 16S ribosomal RNA
Rfam family: Bacterial small subunit ribosomal RNA
Source: RNAcentral